This 462-nucleotide long non-coding RNA is filed under the name Setaria viridis. RNAcentral's name for it is "long non-coding RNA (SVIR_LNC005605)". Lineage: Eukaryota; Viridiplantae; Streptophyta; Magnoliopsida; Poales; Poaceae. The record is from RNAcentral.
GCAAGAAGCAGCGCCGCCGCCGGAGCAUUGCCACACUUAGCCCUUGCUCGAAGCUUUAGCCCCUCCGUCCAAGUCUGCUCCUUCCCGACCCUAAGCUUUCCUUUCAGGAAGAAGGUGAGUUGCCGACCCCCAGUCCGCCUCGCCCGACCCCUCCUAUCCGCCCGACCCCAGUUCCGUCUCGUCCGACCCCGUCUGUUCUGCCGACCCUUAUCCGCCUCGCCCGAGGGCUUGGCUGUGAUCUUUUUCUUCAACUCGAGGGUGUAUGUGUAAAACUUGGGAAACCUUCAGCGCUUGCAUCUAAGGACCCCUAUUUUAUCACAUCCUCUAGUUCAAGGAUCAGACCACUAGUUUCCUUCCUACCCUUACCUUUUGAUCAUCAUCAGCUUUUGAACUGCUAUCACCCCUGCUCUUUGUCGCGAGUUUCUGGGCUCAGACGAGCCAGUGUUGCUGUUGAACUAACCG